AAAAAGCGUAUUUUUGUGCUGUUUAUUUUCAACAUUUGAUUGCCCAUCCUAUUUGAAAAAAUAUGUUAGUAUUUUUAUUGUUAUUAGAUGAUAAAACAUGAAUAAUACUUUAUGUGUGAUUAGUUUUUAAAAAAAAGUUCAUAAAUUUUUUAAAUAAGACAAAUGGUCAGAAGUUGGAUACGGAAAUCCAUAAAUACAGUUAUA
This 204-nucleotide microRNA precursor is filed under the name Oryza brachyantha (malo sina). Its description in RNAcentral is "MIR812 microRNA precursor family". It matches the Rfam family "MIR812 microRNA precursor family". The record is from Rfam by way of RNAcentral. Lineage: Eukaryota; Viridiplantae; Streptophyta; Magnoliopsida; Poales; Poaceae.